GCUGACGACCGGCGCACGGGUGCGUAACGCGUAUACAACCUACCUUUUAGCGGGGAAUAGCCCAGGGAAACUUGGAUUAAUGCCCCAUAGUAUGGAGUUCUCACCUGAGAAUUUCAUUAAACAUUUAUGGCUAUUAGAUGGGUAUGCGUCCUAUUAGUUUGUUGGUAAGGUAACGGCUUACCAAGGCAUCGAUAGGUAGGGGUCCUGAGAGGGAGAUCCCCCACACUGGUACUGAGACACGGACCAGACUCCUACGGGAGGCAGCAGUGAGGAAUAUUGGACAAUGGGCGAGAGCCUGAUCCAGCCAUGCCGCGUGCAGGAAGACUGCCCUAUGGGUUGUAAACUGCUUUUACAGAGGAAGAACCACCCCCACGUGUGGGGGUUUGACGGUACUCUGCGAAUAAGGAUCGGCUAACUCCGUGCCAGCAGCCGCGGUAAUACGGAGGAUCCAAGCGUUAUCCGGAAUCAUUGGGUUUAAAGGGUCCGUAGGCGGGCAGUUAAGUCAGUGGUGAAAGUCUUCCGCUCAACGGGAGAACUGCCAUUGAUACUGAUUGUCUUGAGUUAUUAUGAAGUGGUUAGAAUGAGUAGUGUAGCGGUGAAAUGCAUAGAUAUUACUCAGAAUACCGAUUGCGAAGGCAGAUCACUAAUAAUAUACUGACGCUGAUGGACGAAAGCGUAGGUAGCGAACAGGAUUAGAUACCCUGGUAGUCUACGCCGUAAACGAUGGUUACUAGCUGUUCGGCCCGAUUAAGGGCUGAGUGGUUAAGCGAAAGUGAUAAGUAACCCACCUGGGGAGUACGUUCGCAAGAAUGAAACUCAAAGGAAUUGACGGGGGCCCGCACAAGCGGUGGAGCAUGUGGUUUAAUUCGAUGAUACGCGAGGAACCUUACCAGGGCUUAAAUGUAGUCUGACAGGAGUGGAAACACUUUUUUCUUCGGACAGAUUACAAGGUGCUGCAUGGUUGUCGUCAGCUCGUGCCGUGAGGUGUCAGGUUAAGUCCUAUAACGAGCGCAACCCCUGUGGUUAGUUGCCAGCGAGUAAUGUCGGGAACUCUAGCCAGACUGCCGGUGCAAACCGCGAGGAAGGUGGGGAUGACGUCAAAUCAUCACGGCCCUUACGUCCUGGGCCACACACGUGCUACAAUGGUAGGGACAGAGAGCAGCCACUUCGCGAGAAGGAGCGAAUCUACAAACCCUAUCACAGUUCGGAUCGCAGUCUGCAACUCGACUGCGUGAAGCUGGAAUCGCUAGUAAUCGCAUAUCAGCCAUGAUGCGGUGAAUACGUUCCCGGGCCUUGUACACACCGCCCGUCAAGCCAUGGAAGCCGGGGGUACCUGAAGUCGGUCACCGCAAGGAGCCGCCUAGGGUAAAACUGGUAACUGGGGCUAAGUCGUAACAAGGUAGCCGUACCGGAAGGUGCGGCUGGAACACCUCCUUUCU
This 1439-nucleotide ribosomal RNA is filed under the name Salegentibacter sp. 24. RNAcentral describes it as "bacterial SSU rRNA". It matches the Rfam family "Bacterial small subunit ribosomal RNA". Lineage: Bacteria; Pseudomonadati; Bacteroidota; Flavobacteriia; Flavobacteriales; Flavobacteriaceae. The record is from RNAcentral.